This is a non-coding RNA of Macaca mulatta (Rhesus monkey), 536 nucleotides long. The record is from RefSeq and is a predicted model, not a curated record. NCBI's taxonomy places the organism in Eukaryota, Metazoa, Chordata, Mammalia, Primates, Cercopithecidae.
UCAAGAGGCAAAAAGAAAAAGAAAAAAAAGAAAUGAACCACCUGGUACAGGAAAAACAUAUCUAGCAACAGCCCCAGUUGGGCCAGGGGAGGCUGAGAAGCCAUUGUGUGCGCUGCACUUCAUUCUUCCCCUGGAAGGAUUUAUGACCUCACACUGCCAUGACAUCACAAUGCGUUGCCAUGGGUCCCACUUUAUUAUCGUAAACAAAACGCUAUUCGUUGGGCCACUGCCUGUCUGAGCAGGAGGGGAAAAAAGGCUCUGGCCUCUGGACAAGGUUCAGGACAGGAACAAGAAGGAUGAAGUCAGCUCCCUGCAGGAGGAUCUCCAGCUCCGCGUGUUCUCACUGCCAAAUAGCAGCCUCCCCAGGCCGCCUUCACUGCUCCAAACAAGGUUUUUAUUCAUUCACCGAAAAUGCAUGGACUACCUACUAUGUGCUAGACACUGACAGAACUGGGGCAGGGAUCAAUGAAAAACAUGUCGCCAGCCCCACCCCUUUCAGAAUCUUUAAUACUUAACAAGCCCACAAAUAACAUGAA